This 128-nucleotide ribosomal RNA is filed under the name Picipes dictyopus. RNAcentral describes it as "Polyporus dictyopus partial 28S ribosomal RNA". It matches the Rfam family "Eukaryotic large subunit ribosomal RNA", at positions 1 to 127 of the family's 3401-position model. The record is from RNAcentral. Lineage: Eukaryota; Fungi; Basidiomycota; Agaricomycetes; Polyporales; Polyporaceae.
CUGACCUCAAAUCAGGUGGGACUACCCGCUGAACUUAAGCAUAUCAAUAAGCGGAGGAAAAGAAACUAACAAGGAUUCCCCUAGUAACUGCGAGUGAAGCGGGAAGAGCUCAAAUUUAAAAUCUGGCG